RNAcentral lists this ribosomal RNA (453 nucleotides) under Klebsiella aerogenes. RNAcentral's name for it is "bacterial SSU rRNA". It matches the Rfam family "Bacterial small subunit ribosomal RNA", at positions 1 to 452 of the family's 1533-position model. The record is from RNAcentral. Lineage: Bacteria; Pseudomonadati; Pseudomonadota; Gammaproteobacteria; Enterobacterales; Enterobacteriaceae. RNAcentral also lists the same sequence under 12 other names.
AAAUUGAAGAGUUUGAUCAUGGCUCAGAUUGAACGCUGGCGGCAGGCCUAACACAUGCAAGUCGAGCGGUAGCACAGAGAGCUUGCUCUCGGGUGACGAGCGGCGGACGGGUGAGUAAUGUCUGGGAAACUGCCUGAUGGAGGGGGAUAACUACUGGAAACGGUAGCUAAUACCGCAUAACGUCGCAAGACCAAAGUGGGGGACCUUCGGGCCUCAUGCCAUCAGAUGUGCCCAGAUGGGAUUAGCUAGUAGGUGGGGUAAUGGCUCACCUAGGCGACGAUCCCUAGCUGGUCUGAGAGGAUGACCAGCCACACUGGAACUGAGACACGGUCCAGACUCCUACGGGAGGCAGCAGUGGGGAAUAUUGCACAAUGGGCGCAAGCCUGAUGCAGCCAUGCCGCGUGUAUGAAGAAGGCCUUCGGGUUGUAAAGUACUUUCAGCGAGGAGGAAGGC